CAGUCGCCGCGGUAAUACGAAGGUCCCGAGCGUUGUUCGGAAUCACUGGGCGUAAAGGGAGCGUAGGCGGCGUGGUAAGUCAGAUGUGAAAUCCCGGGGCUCAACCCCGGAACUGCAUCCGAUACUGCCAUGCUAGAGGAUUGGAGAGGUAGCUGGAAUUCUUGGUGUAGCAGUGAAAUGCGUGGAGAUCAAGAGGAACACUCGUGGCGAAAGCGAGCUACUGGACAAUAACUGACGCUGAGGCUCGAAGGCCAGGGUAGCGAAAGGGAUUAGAUACCCCUGUAGUCCCUGUCUCUUAUAC
This 301-nucleotide ribosomal RNA is filed under the name uncultured bacterium. RNAcentral describes it as "partial 16S ribosomal RNA". It matches the Rfam family "Bacterial small subunit ribosomal RNA", at positions 509 to 807 of the family's 1533-position model. The record is from RNAcentral.